RNAcentral lists this ribosomal RNA (153 nucleotides) under Clostridium cadaveris. RNAcentral's name for it is "partial 23S ribosomal RNA". It matches the Rfam family "Bacterial large subunit ribosomal RNA", at positions 2777 to 2925 of the family's 2925-position model. Lineage: Bacteria; Bacillati; Bacillota; Clostridia; Eubacteriales; Clostridiaceae. The record is from RNAcentral.
GCAUCUAAGCGUGAAGCCCCCCUCAAGAUGAGAUUUCCCAUAACGUAAGUUAGUAAGACCCCUUGAAGAACACAAGGUAGAUAGGUGAGAGGUGUAAGUGCAGCAAUGUAUUCAGCUGACUCAUACUAAUAGGUCGAGGACUUAAUCAAAGAU